RNAcentral lists this microRNA (21 nucleotides) under Populus trichocarpa (black cottonwood). RNAcentral describes it as "ptc-miR7818". The record is from miRBase by way of RNAcentral. Lineage: Eukaryota; Viridiplantae; Streptophyta; Magnoliopsida; Malpighiales; Salicaceae.
UUUCUUAUCGAUCACUAGACG